Anguilla rostrata (American eel) is the source of this 362-nucleotide long non-coding RNA. RefSeq lists it as uncharacterized. The record is from RefSeq and is a predicted model, not a curated record. The transcript is spliced from 2 exons. Lineage: Eukaryota; Metazoa; Chordata; Actinopteri; Anguilliformes; Anguillidae.
AAUAGGCUACUCAAUAGCAAUACUAUCAUAUAGCCAGCUCUCCCCAAGUAGGCAGUUUUAGCGAGUAGCCUAGGCCUGGUGCAAGCAUUUCCAAAGAAGGUGUGCAAAACGGGCCCACACACUUCCUCUGAAGACAAACUGUUUCUCGGUUUCUGUUUUAAAGUUUGUUUCCUGUGAACUGUUUUACGAGAAUUAAAUUGACAAACCUAACUGGUUUCCUGUGGCAGCGGCUUUCUUCCUGCUUGUCGGUGUCAACGUGCGGUUAAAUAAUGAAUAUACUGCUAACUGAGAAAACUUUGGAAUAAUCACCUACAUCAUAUUUUGUGAUGUGACAGAGUGAGGAAGUGAUGCUGUCCUAUCUC